CUAAGAUGUUGCGUACAAGAGGCAGAAAGUUAGCAUGGUAGAGAUCGAUUGGGUCAGCCGUCUCCCAGGUACCUAGAUACUUGAUUUUUUUUCUGUGCACCAAAGGAAUUUGGGUUUCAGAUUAUCAUAUUCCUCUGUUGGGGUUGUGAUAUUGUUGUAGAAUUAUUAGGCCUCUAUAAAUCUGUAAGACCCCUUUAAAUCCUCUUGCUAUACCUCUAAGAGGCCCCCAUAGUUUUACAAGAAAGCUUUGUCUAUAGAACAUAGAAUUUGCAUGUCAGCAAGAAAUAGCUUUGAUAAAAUGUGUAUUUACUAAAAGCCUUGAAACCUAGCCUUGAGAAACUAACAAGUGCCAGUUACGCUCUAAAUGGAUAGCUGCCAAAAGGCCCCUCCCGUCGAGUAAGCUCCUCAUGUUAGCAAAAUGGCGCUAAAACCUGGGGGAGAAAAGCAUGACGUAGAUAGUGACCUAAGAAUGGGGAGGGCAUUUUACUAACAUCUUAGCACCUAAGCCAAUUAACAAUGUCUAUUUGUCUAUAUCUUGAUUUUCUUCAAUGAUGUAAUAAUGCCUUUAAAAGGGUCUGCGCACCCAUUUUCUGGCAGAAGCCAU
Molecule: non-coding RNA, 604 nt
Organism: Pelobates cultripes (western spadefoot toad)
Lineage: Eukaryota; Metazoa; Chordata; Amphibia; Anura; Pelobatidae
Source: the annotation of a GenBank genome assembly